UCCGCCUGCAACAUGAAGCUCACUCUGAAGAACAAGUUUGUGGAGUUCGAUAUGAAGCCUGUGUGUAAGAGGUGCUAUGAAAGGUUCCCCCUGGAACUGAAGAAGAGGUUGAAGAAGCUGUCCGACCUGAGCUCCCGCAAGGCCCAGCCCAAGCCUGUGGGCGUCAACUCAGUCUGAAGGUCCUUGGCCUCCUUGCCUGCCUGCAGAACCUUAGCCCUCACCCUCUGCCCCAAGUCCUGCUAGCCACCUCCCACUUCUGCUCCAAUGCAGCCCCUCCUCCGGGGGCAUUCUGUUUCCAGUCCACUUCGGGCUAUGUAGUCCUCUCCUCUCUACUCUCCCAGGAGACUCUCAGGCCCAGUGUGACCCUGGGGCUUGGCUGAGAAGCUGACCCAGCCCCAGGGCCAGCACCACGCAGACAGAGGCUUCAGGGGAGUACCCUUCAGUUAUUCAACCACAGUAGGUAGCUUGUGCUUACACUGUGUCAGCAAACCCAGCUAGAGGGCUGGGACCCCCAUUGCCUUUGCCACUCAGAAGACCUCAUAGAAAGCUUCCCAGCUGCCCACCCAGCUUGGGUCCCAUUUCCCAGGAGCACAUUGCCCUGGCCGUCUCAGACCCAAAAGUGGUGACAUACUUGCACAAUGAAGGCUGAUUCAC
This 654-nucleotide long non-coding RNA is filed under the name Rattus norvegicus (Norway rat). RNAcentral's name for it is "long non-coding RNA NONRATT013281". The record is from RNAcentral. Lineage: Eukaryota; Metazoa; Chordata; Mammalia; Rodentia; Muridae.